AGUGAACGCUGGCGGUAGGCCUAACACAUGCCAGUCGAACGGCAGCACAGUAAGAGCUUGCUCUUACGGGUGGCGAGUGGCGGACGGGUGAGGAAUACAUCGGAAUCUACUUUUUCGUGGGGGAUAACGUAGGGAAACUUACGCUAAUCCCGCAUACGACCUACGGGUUAAAGCAGGGGAUCUUCGGACCUUGCGCGAUUGAAUGAACCGCUGUCGGAUUAGCUAGUUGGCGGGGUAAAGGCCCACCAAGGCGACGAUCCGUAGCUGGUCUGAGAGGAUGAUCAGCCACACUGGAACGGAGACACGGUCAAGACUCCUACGGGAGGCAGCAGUGGGGAAUAUUGGACAAUGGGCGCAAGCCUGAUCCAGCCAGACCGCGUGGGUGAAGAAGGCCUUCGGGUUGUAAAGCCCUUUUGUUGGGAAAGAAAAGCAGCAGGUUAAUACCCCGCUGUUCUGACGGUACCCAAAGAAUAAGCACCGGCUAACUUCGUG
This 492-nucleotide ribosomal RNA is filed under the name uncultured bacterium. RNAcentral's name for it is "partial 16S ribosomal RNA". It matches the Rfam family "Bacterial small subunit ribosomal RNA", at positions 29 to 507 of the family's 1533-position model. The record is from RNAcentral.